Molecule: long non-coding RNA, 538 nt
Filed under: Manacus vitellinus (golden-collared manakin)
Lineage: Eukaryota; Metazoa; Chordata; Aves; Passeriformes; Pipridae
Description: lncRNA (ENSMVIG00005002959.1)
Source: RNAcentral
GCCUCCCUCUGUAUCAUUUCAGAAGUUCACUUCAAGGACUCUGAUGCCAGCUCCUGCUGCAAGAAGGUCUAUCCCAAAUGGUGCUCCAUGUGCUUUGUCUCAGACUCCUGUUCACAACUCCAGUACAGACAGAUCAUCUGCUUCACUGCUUCUGCGUUCUCGCACGCAUUUGGGCAGUCGCAACACGAAGAAGGCAUUUCAAAACUCUGUUCAUAAAACAUACUCUGGGGACCUCCUGGACAGACAUUCAGCCUAUUUUACAGAAAAGAAGCAAUGUUUUAGCCCUCGGAUCUUAAAGACAUCACAUCAAUCUUUUCUUAUGAAGUAUAGGUAUUAUAAUCCUCCUUCAAGAAAAAGGAGCUCCUCCCCUAGCAGACCACCAUUUAAAUCAUCAGACAUCAGUAACGAAAAGAAAAGCGAGUUGCACAGAUUUUUAGAAGAUUCACACGUGAGACCCCAUUCUGUUCACUUCUCUCAGCAGCCAGUUGAGAACUGUGAAUUGUGGAUUCAAAAUUCUGAAAUGCCACUUUUUCCAGGA